GGCUGUAGCUCAGCGCUAGAGCACCUGUUUAGCAUGCAGAAGGUCCUAGGUUCAAUCCAGGUAGGGCUG
Molecule: non-coding RNA, 69 nt
Organism: Podarcis lilfordi (Lilford's wall lizard)
Lineage: Eukaryota; Metazoa; Chordata; Lepidosauria; Squamata; Lacertidae
Source: the annotation of a GenBank genome assembly